This 256-nucleotide long non-coding RNA is filed under the name Ananas comosus (pineapple). Its description in RNAcentral is "long non-coding RNA (ACOM_LNC001516)". The record is from RNAcentral. Lineage: Eukaryota; Viridiplantae; Streptophyta; Magnoliopsida; Poales; Bromeliaceae.
UUUUGAGCCUUUAUGAUUUUAUAAGUACGUGAGCAUUUCGUCUCAAAAUUCGUACAGUACUAAUAAAAAAGACUUAAUGGAAUAUACAGUUAAUAGCGCCGUAUGAAUUUUGAGGUGAUCCGACGGCUAAAAAGUUACAAGCUCAAAUGUUCUUGUCCUUUUAAAAGCACAGAAACUCAACUCUCUCUCUCUCUAUAUAUAUAUAUAUGUUAAUAUUUAUUUUCUCUCUCUAUAUCUCUCUUAAUACCCAUAUCAU